CAUCGAUAGCUUCCGGAACAGCAACUGAUUUUAGAUGACCAUCAAGAAAUUCGUCUAAUUUCACUUUUUGGCCGUAAUGAGUAUUUUAAGAUACUGCAAGCAACAUAAGGAUGGAGUCAUGUGUAGAAGUUCACGUAAGUGAGGAAAGUUCUUUGAUUGCCAUUUACUUGGGAGUGACCAGAAACGAUUAUUUGACUAAUGGCUCAAGCAGCUCACCACUUCCGGCCUUAGACCAAGUAUCCUCUGGUGAAAAGUCGAAAUAUCCAUCACCAGAGUUGAUCACUGAGUUUGGGACUCGCCUCGUAAAAAACACCCGCAAUGAAAGGAAAACAACAGCCUCGUAUGAGAAACUGCACUACUGCAAACGCAUUAAGAAUUUCGAUUUAAGGGCAUGCACCUGGAAUGUCUGGUCCCUUAAUUGCCGUUGCUUAGCUAGUUGAUGUCCUCUUG
This is a long non-coding RNA of Bactrocera neohumeralis, 450 nucleotides long. RefSeq lists it as uncharacterized. The transcript is spliced from 2 exons. The record is from RefSeq and is a predicted model, not a curated record. Lineage: Eukaryota; Metazoa; Arthropoda; Insecta; Diptera; Tephritidae.